Long non-coding RNA from Syzygium oleosum, 401 nucleotides. RefSeq lists it as uncharacterized. The record is from RefSeq and is a predicted model, not a curated record. Lineage: Eukaryota; Viridiplantae; Streptophyta; Magnoliopsida; Myrtales; Myrtaceae. The transcript has 3 exons.
UACGAUGCUGUUGCCAGUGAUGCCAGCGAUUGCUGCAGCCAAGCGUGCAACAGAUAGGGCGGCAUCUACUUUUGCUCUGUGCAAUCGAAGCUCCUCUUUCUUCCUGUCCUUGUACCACUUGAGUAGGCUAGCUAAAGGAAGUCAGAGGCUGCUGGGCUCCAUGAGCGAGACAGAUACUCCAUUGCACUAAUUGGGCUGCCAAGGACGUCCAGAGACUGGCAACACAAUGAAGGUUUGCAACAGGCCAUGCGUACCACUUUUUAAUAAUCAGUGAAGGUCUAUGCAAGAGGAAUUCCAUUUCCACCAUGCCCAAUAGUUGCAUCACCAUCAGGGAAAAAUAGAAGGAAACCCACAAAAAAGAAAAUGAUAGGUGCUGUACCAGAUGAGGACUGUAUGUGAAU